GUAGGUGGCAAGCGUUGUCCGGAAUUAUUGGGCGUAAAGCGCGCGCAGGCGGUUCUUUAAGUCUGAUGUGAAAGCCCACGGCUCAACCGUGGAGGGUCAUUGGAAACUGGAGAACUUGAGUACAGAAGAGGAAAGCGGAAUUCCACGUGUAGCGGUGAAAUGCGUAGAGAUGUGGAGGAACACCAGUGGCGAAGGCGGCUUUCUGGUCUGUAACUGACGCUGAGGCGCGAAAGCGUGGGGAGCAAACAGGGAUUAGAUACCCUGGUAGUCCACGCCGUAAACGAUGAGUGCUAAGUGUUAGGGGGUUUCCGCCCCCUUAGUGCUGCAGCUAACGCAUUAAGCACUCCGCCUGGGGAGUACGGCCGCAAAGCUG
RNAcentral lists this ribosomal RNA (373 nucleotides) under uncultured organism. RNAcentral's name for it is "partial 16S ribosomal RNA". It matches the Rfam family "Bacterial small subunit ribosomal RNA", at positions 527 to 896 of the family's 1533-position model. The record is from RNAcentral.